RNAcentral lists this ribosomal RNA (452 nucleotides) under uncultured soil bacterium. Its description in RNAcentral is "bacterial SSU rRNA". It matches the Rfam family "Bacterial small subunit ribosomal RNA", at positions 946 to 1384 of the family's 1533-position model. The record is from RNAcentral.
GGAAUUCGAUUAACGCGAAGAACCUUACCAGCGUUUGACAUGCCAGGACGGUUUUCAGAGAUGGAUUCCUUCCCUUACGGGACCUGGACACAGGUGCUGCAUGGCUGUCGUCAGCUCGUGUCGUGAGAUGUUGGGUUAAGUCCCGCAACGAGCGCAACCCUCGUCUUUAGUUGCUACCAUUUAGUUGGGCACUCUAAAGAAACUGCCGGUGAUAAGCCGGAGGAAGGUGGGGAUGACGUCAAGUCCUCAUGGCCCUUACGCGCUGGGCUACACACGUGCUACAAUGGCGGUGACAAAGGGCAGCAAACUCGCGAGAGUGAGCAAAUCCCAAAAAGCCGUCUCAGUUCGGAUUGUUCUCUGCAACUCGAGAGCAUGAAGGCGGAAUCGCUAGUAAUCGCGGAUCAGCACGCCGCGGUGAAUACGUUCCCGGGCCUUGUCACACCGAAUCACUA